This 248-nucleotide small RNA is filed under the name Pelobates cultripes (western spadefoot toad). Lineage: Eukaryota; Metazoa; Chordata; Amphibia; Anura; Pelobatidae. The record is from RNAcentral.
GGGAGGGGGUGACUAGUGACAGAGUGAGGGAGGGAAGGGGUGACUAGUGACAGAGUGAGGGAGGUGGUGAUUAGUGACAGAGGGAAGGAUGGGGUGACUAGUGACAGUCACUCUGUCACUAGUCACCCCCUCCCUCACUCUGUCACUGGGUCACCCCCUUCCUCACUCUUUCACUGUGUCACCCCCUUCCUCACUCUCACUAGUCACCCACUCCCUCCCUUACUCUGUCACUAGUCACCCCCUCUCUC